CUCGAGGAGGGGGAUAACAGCGGGAAACUGCUGCUAAUACCCCAUAUGCCGAAAGGUGAAAAGAAAUUUGCCUUGAGAGGGGCUCGCGUCCGAUUAGCUAGUUGGUGAGGUAAGAGCUUACCAAGGCGACGAUCGGUAGCUGGUCUGAGAGGAUGAGCAGCCACACUGGGACUGAGACACGGCCCAGACUCCUACGGGAGGCAGCAGUGGGGAAUUUUCCGCAAUGGGCGAAAGCCUGACGGAGCAACGCCGCGUGGGGGAAGAAGGCCUUUGGGUUGUAAACUCCUUUUCUCAGGGAAGAAGAACUGACGGUACCUGAGGAAUCAGCCUCGGCUAACUCCGUGCCAGCAGCCGCGGUAAUACGGAGGAGGCAAGCGUUAUCCGGAAUUAUUGGGCGUAAAGCGUUCGUAGGCGGCGUUUCAAGUCUGCUGUCAAAGGCCGAGGCUCAACUUCGGAAAGGCAGUGGAAACUGAAAAGCUAGAGGUCGGUAGGGGCAGAGGGAAUUCCCAGUGUAGCGGUGAAAUGCGUAGAUAUUGGGAAGAACACCGGUGGCGAAAGCGCUCUGCUGGGCCGAACCUGAUGCUCACGGGACGAGUAGCAACCGAGU
Molecule: ribosomal RNA, 607 nt
Filed under: Geitlerinema sp. C49
Lineage: Bacteria; Bacillati; Cyanobacteriota; Cyanophyceae; Geitlerinematales; Geitlerinemataceae
Description: bacterial SSU rRNA
Rfam family: Bacterial small subunit ribosomal RNA
Source: RNAcentral